Molecule: unclassified non-coding RNA, 466 nt
Filed under: Hevea brasiliensis (rubber tree)
Lineage: Eukaryota; Viridiplantae; Streptophyta; Magnoliopsida; Malpighiales; Euphorbiaceae
Source: RNAcentral
GCCUGCACGCUUCUCUCUCUCCCUCCGUCCCUCUCAUAAAAAAUUGGGUUAAAUCGCCUCCGACCCGAUUACAGGUCGAUAAGGCCUUCAAAAUCGUGUCAACGCGCCGAUCCGGCGAAAAGGAGAGUGAAAUUGUGCUUGGGAACGAGGAAUUCAAGGAGUUCUCAGUGGAGGUAUUUUCGGACGCUGUCGUUUCGUGUGCAGGGAAAGAGCUUCUAAAGCGGGUUCCGGUUGGUGCUUUGGGGAUCGCUGGCGUUGGUGCGGUGGUGAAGCCUGGGAAAGAAUUAAUUGCGGCGGCGAUUGGUGCUUACGCGCUCGGUGUUGCAACAUCGGUAUACGUCAGCUUGGCUUAAACGUAUUUUUUUUGUUUUUUUUUUAAAUUACAAAAAUGAAUAAAAGUUUUUACAAGUUUGGUUAAGCCCAAAAGUACAAAUUAGUCAUGUUUUAAAUUAUUAUAACCCCUAAU